GUAAUUUUUUGAAAGACAUUUAUUCAAUGAAAGGGCUCGGGUGGUAGCCCUGAAAUACCACUGUAGCAAAAUGGUUUCCACCGUUUGGUACGCCUGAAACCAUUCUCCUCGACCCGAUAAAUUGCAGCCGGGUUUCACUCCCUCAUCUACUAUUUUCACCCAAUUCAUGUCAACUCUAUCAGGCUGGAGGCGAGGUAUUAGUUUCUCAGUUAUCAUUUGUGCGCUGAAAGGGCUGUGUUUGGCCAUUUAUACCCUCGGGAAUAUUCAAACGACCGACGCCAAAGCUCCCUCCGCUCACCAUCUUGGCGUGUGCGUCUUCUCCCAUUGACGGCGCCGACCUAGUUUUCUCUUCAAAUUCCAACCGGCUGACAAGUUGGAAUUCAAUUCCGCCACAGGAUGGAAGCCGGAAGGCAAAAAAGGCAUGAGGAGAUGGAAGUCGCGGUCCUGAUGAUCGAGGACAUUGUCCGAGACCAUCAACAAAACUGCUUCGCAAUGUUGAAUAUGGUUAACAGCUUGGUGAGCGGCAAGGACGCCAGUUCGGAACAUAACCACGAUGCUCAGAAUCGUGUCUCAUACAGCAUGACAGACAAGAUACCUGCGCAAGUUAGACAUAUGAACCGCCUUACUGCCCUCACCGACAUUGACUGCAUAAACAAUCUCCGGAUAGACCGCAAUGCAUUCGGCCAUUUGUGUCGCAUACUCCGUGAUAGGUGUGGUUUGGUUGACCAAAGGUAUGUUCGUGUGGAGGAGCAGGUGGCGAUGUUCCUUUGCACAUUGGCUCACCACACAAAAACGCGUAUAGUUGGCUUCAGAUUCAUUCAGUCCAAGCAAACUGUUAGCCGUUAGUUAUUCAUCUGCACAAAGGCCUCUUCGUGGAACCGUCUCCGGUGGAUGACAUCCAGCUGUGACGACCCAAGGUGGAAAUGGUUUAAGGGUUGCCUUGGUGCAUUGGACGGGACAUACAUUAAUGUCUGUGUUUGUGCAGCUGAAGCUCCUCGUUACAGGAAUAGGAAAGGUGAAAUCUCAACGAACACUCUUGCAGUGUGCGACCGGUGAUAAGAAUGAAAGGGGUGAAGGGUGUUUUAGUAAUUUCUGCCACAUUUUCAAGGAUUCGUGGGCUGAACCAAACGCCACAUAAUGGGGCUGCAUAAUUUUUUGUUUGCUCUACCAAACAGACUAAACAAUUGUACAUGCACAUGGGAAAAGCCCAAUACCUAUAGAGUCAUGAAAAUAAGUUUUCAGCCCCUACCACCCGAGCCCUAAUACUAUAUUGUAAAUUAAUCUAUGUAUACAAUAUGUUUCUUGCGGUGUCUUUUCCAGUUAGAAAAAUCACUACUUGAGAAAGA
Salvia splendens (bonfire salvia) is the source of this 1346-nucleotide long non-coding RNA. RefSeq lists it as uncharacterized. The transcript is spliced from 3 exons. The record is from RefSeq and is a predicted model, not a curated record. Lineage: Eukaryota; Viridiplantae; Streptophyta; Magnoliopsida; Lamiales; Lamiaceae.